This 85-nucleotide transfer RNA is filed under the name Felis catus (domestic cat). It matches the Rfam family "tRNA". From Rfam's summary of the family: Transfer RNA (tRNA) molecules are approximately 80 nucleotides in length. Their secondary structure includes four short double-helical elements and three loops (D, anti-codon, and T loops). The record is from Rfam by way of RNAcentral. Lineage: Eukaryota; Metazoa; Chordata; Mammalia; Carnivora; Felidae.
GCCUGGGUGGCUCAGUUGGUUGAGCAACUGACUUCGGCUCAGGUCAUGAUCUCGUGGUCUGUGAGUUCGAGCCCCACGUUGGGCU